GAUGAACGUUGGCGGUGUGCCUAAUACAUGCAAGUCGAACGGUGGUUAUUUUGUAGUAAUACGAAGUGAUCAUAGUGGCGAACGGGUGAGUAACGCGUUGGUGAUCUGCCUCGAAGUGUGGAAUAACGUUCCGAAAGGAACGCUAAUACCGCAUGUGCUUUCGAUUUUUUAGAAAGUUGAGAGUAAAGGAUUUAUUCGCUUCGAGAGGAGCCUGCGUCCCAUCAGCUAGUUGGUAGGGUAAUAGCCUACCAAGGCUUUGACGGGUAGGGGACCUGAGAGGGUGGCCCCCCACAAUGGAACUGAAACACGGUCCAUACACCUACGGGUGGCAGCAGUAGGGAAUAUUAGUUAAUCUGCGAAAGCGGGAACCAGCAACGCCGCGUGCACGAUGAAGGCCUUCGGGUUGUAAAGUAGCUUUUUGUAGAGGAUGAGGAAGGACGAGUACUCUUAGAAUAAAGCUUACGGCUAACUACGUG
RNAcentral lists this ribosomal RNA (476 nucleotides) under uncultured bacterium. RNAcentral describes it as "bacterial SSU rRNA". It matches the Rfam family "Bacterial small subunit ribosomal RNA", at positions 28 to 507 of the family's 1533-position model. The record is from RNAcentral.